AACGUAGGAGACAAACGUUAUCCGGAGUUACUGGGCGUAAAGGGCGUGUAGGCGGUCUGUUAAGUCUGGCGUGAAAGCUCUCGGCUAAACCGGGAGAGGUCGUUGGAUACUGGCAGACUAGAGGACGGUAGAGGCGUGUGGAAUUCCGGGUGUAGUGGUGAAAUGCGUAGAGAUCCGGAGGAACCCCAGAGGCGAAGGCGGCGUCCUGGCCCAUUUCUGACGUUCAGACAUGACAGCAUGGGGAGCGAACGGG
RNAcentral lists this ribosomal RNA (253 nucleotides) under uncultured bacterium. RNAcentral describes it as "partial 16S ribosomal RNA". It matches the Rfam family "Bacterial small subunit ribosomal RNA", at positions 524 to 776 of the family's 1533-position model. The record is from RNAcentral.